Molecule: transfer RNA, 92 nt
Filed under: Salmo salar (Atlantic salmon)
Lineage: Eukaryota; Metazoa; Chordata; Actinopteri; Salmoniformes; Salmonidae
Also listed under: 1 other name
Rfam family: tRNA
About the family: Transfer RNA (tRNA) molecules are approximately 80 nucleotides in length.
Source: Rfam by way of RNAcentral
GCCCUGUGGCUCAGUUGGUAGAGCAUGGUGUUUGCAACGCCAGCAUGGUGUGUGCAACGCCAGGGUUGUGGGUUUGAUUCCCACGGGGGGCC